UCCGCCUGUCCUACGAAGGCCGUCUCGUUUAAUUCUAGGUUGAGGACACUUCGUACAUGCAUCCCACAGAGGAAUGACUGUGAAGAAAACUUGUAAUUCGACAAAAGAUUCGUCCAUUCAUCCUGCGCGAGAGGGUGGUGGCUGAACCCGCGUCAGUGCAGGAAAGACGAGCCACUGUGAGUUUGUUUGUUUGUUUGUAAUCCCAAAAUAUUCUAGAAUAUAGUGUAACCAAACUUCAUAUUUUGUCACUGCAGAACGGGG
This 261-nucleotide long non-coding RNA is filed under the name Sinocyclocheilus grahami. RNAcentral describes it as "lncRNA (ENSSGRG00000036552.1)". Lineage: Eukaryota; Metazoa; Chordata; Actinopteri; Cypriniformes; Cyprinidae. The record is from RNAcentral.